AUGGAGAUGAAGAUGGGGGGGGAGACCCUCAGAAUAUUACCCCGAAGGCAACUUUUCCUCUGAGGGACUCUCCCAUUCGAAAUCCGAAAGUGGCGGGCUCCUGGUGAGAGAAACUUUCUCUUUUAAUUCGUCUUUGGAUGGCCGAUUUGUCCCAUGGUCGUCUUGGCGGGUGAGUUGGUAUUAUUUCCCAUCAGGUGGCAACUCCUUGUGUCGGGUUGGAGGCGGGUGGCAGCACUCGUUGGGAAAAAAGGACGUCGACUUGAGGACAACAUUGGAGGGCAGUGGAUUUGGCGUGAGGCAAGUGAGAAGCAUCGUCGUGUGGGUGGGCAUAGUGUGGCGUCUUCGUGUCUAAUCAGGUACAGGUGCAGGUGAGUCCAAAGGAUGUCGUCAGGAUGGGUAAAAUAUAUCACAGGAAGAAGAAGACAUGUAAACAAAGAAGAUUUCUGGACAGGAUUUAGGAGCAUAUCACAGAUUGAACAGGUCCCAGGUGUUGAUGGCGAUGGAUGGCCUUUUCGCAUGUGUCCUUACAUGGUCUGCGCGUUCGAGAAGAAGUUCGUCGAGUGGUGUGUACGAAGUGCAGAGAGUUAUAUUUUCGAGUGGGAGCAGGUCGCGUCAUCUUUAUUUUCGCAUGGAGAGCAGUGGAUCAUGUGAGUAAGGAUUUACGUAUUUUCCGUGUCCAUCUGUGAGUCAGGAAGAAAGUCGUCAGGUACUUGUAGGAGAGAGCCCAGAGAUCGUGCCAGAGAUGUCCGUAUGCAUGGUGUAGGAGCGUGGGCUUUCCUAUUGGCAUCUUUUGCUGGGAGCGCGGUUCCUCCUUGUGUCGUGGAGGAGGCGGUUUGCAGCAUUCAUUAUGGAGAGGGUAAACAUGCAGGAAUUUAUCUAAUUUGGUCUAGUCAGGUACGGAUACAUGUGAGUCCAGUGGAUGUCGUCAGGUUGGGUAAAAUUUGUCCCAGGUGAAUAUCACAGAUAAUUAGAUCAGUCAGUUUUAGGUUCAAUUGCAUGGAGUGCAUGUAUAAAGGAAGACAUAUAAACAAAGAAGAUUUCUAGACGGGAUUUUAGACAUAUUAAAAAACAGCAUUGAGCAGGUCCUCAGUGUCAGUGGCAGGGGAAGGCGUUUGACGGCUGGGUGUUGUUCCAUGGUCCUGAGUUUAUUUGCCCUUUCUCCUUACGGGUUCAGCACGUUCGUAGAGGGGUUCGUCGGGCUAGUAACGUGUUCAUGUAGAGUCAACAGGUUUUUUUCCGAUAUAAGUGAGCGUCAUCAAGGAAAGAAUUUUUUUGUCUGAGUGUCUGGAUGAGUAGAAAUGUAGCGUGGGUUGCAGCGCAGUCAGGGGAUGUCCAAUUUAUUCGCCCCUAGGAUGGACUAAAUUUGGAUCAGGUCGCCGGCCAUUAGCAUGUCCAUUAGGGAUACGCUACUGCCAAGAGAAGAGGCACCCUUUUCCUUGUCAACCGAUUCUUCUAGAGGUUUUUUUUUUUUUUAACCUUUUUUAUUUAUGUGUAUUUUUUAACAUUGCAUGUUUGUAUUAUGUGGCUUUACAUUGUCUGUUUUAACAGUGUCUGUGUUGUGUAAAUUAAUAAAUAACUAUUUUAACAUUG
This is a long non-coding RNA of Drosophila ananassae, 1590 nucleotides long. RefSeq lists it as uncharacterized. The transcript is spliced from 10 exons. Lineage: Eukaryota; Metazoa; Arthropoda; Insecta; Diptera; Drosophilidae. The record is from RefSeq and is a predicted model, not a curated record.